RNAcentral lists this ribosomal RNA (253 nucleotides) under uncultured bacterium. Its description in RNAcentral is "partial 16S ribosomal RNA". It matches the Rfam family "Bacterial small subunit ribosomal RNA", at positions 524 to 776 of the family's 1533-position model. The record is from RNAcentral.
UACAGGGGGUGCAAACGUUGCUCGGAAUUAUUGGGCGUAAAGCGCACGUAGGCGGUUUGUUAUGUCGGAUGUGAAAGCCCUUGGCUCAACUGAGGAAGUGCAUCCGAAACUGGCAAGUUAGAGUAUGUAAGAGGGUCGCGGAAUUCCCGGUGUAGAGGUGAAAUGCGUAGAUAUCAGGAGGAACACCUGUGGUGUAGACGGCUUUCUGGACCAUAGCUGACGCUGAGACGCGAAAGCGUGGGUAGCAAACAGG